RNAcentral lists this ribosomal RNA (470 nucleotides) under uncultured Desulfocapsa sp. RNAcentral describes it as "bacterial SSU rRNA". It matches the Rfam family "Bacterial small subunit ribosomal RNA", at positions 910 to 1382 of the family's 1533-position model. The record is from RNAcentral. Lineage: Bacteria; Pseudomonadati; Thermodesulfobacteriota; Desulfobulbia; Desulfobulbales; Desulfocapsaceae.
UUGACGGGGCCCGCACAAGCGGUGGAGCAUGUGGUUUAAUUCGAUGCAACGCGAAGAACCUUACCUGGGCUUGACAUCCCGGGAAUCCCCUGGAAACAGGGGAGUGCCCUUGGGAACCCGGUGACAGGUGCUGCAUGGCUGUCGUCAGCUCGUGUCGUGAGAUGUUGGGUUAAGUCCCGCAACGAGCGCAACCCUUGUCUUUAAUUGCCAUCAUUUAGUUGGGCACUUUAAAGAGACUGCCGGUGUUAAGCCGGAGGAAGGUGGGGAUGACGUCAAGUCCUCAUGGCCUUUAUGUCUAGGGCUACACACGUACUACAAUGGCAGGUACAAAGGGCAGCGACACAGCGAUGUGAUGCGAAUCCCGAAAAGCCUGUCUCAGUCCGGAUCGGAGUCUGCAACUCGACUCCGUGAAGUUGGAAUCGCUAGUAACCGCAUAUCAGCAUGGUGCGGUGAAUACGUUCUCGGGCCUU